GUGACAUCCGGUCACAGCCCGUGCAGGCCCUCAUGUGUCCAGGAGGAUCAGGGCUGUGCCGGCAGGAAGCCUUGGUGAGCAGGCGCGCGGGCUGGGCCCCAAGGAUGACAGCGCCCAGGAGAGGUGAGUGCAUCCCCAGGGUGCCCCAGGGAGAGCCCGGCCCAGCGUCCUCUA
RNAcentral lists this long non-coding RNA (174 nucleotides) under Ictidomys tridecemlineatus (thirteen-lined ground squirrel). Its description in RNAcentral is "lncRNA (ENSSTOG00000034571.1)". Lineage: Eukaryota; Metazoa; Chordata; Mammalia; Rodentia; Sciuridae. The record is from RNAcentral.